UGCAGUCGAACGAGUUCUCGUUGAUGAUCGGUGCUUGCACCGAGAUUCAACAUGGAACGAGUGGCGGACGGGUGAGUAACACGUGGGUAACCUGCCCUUAAGUGGGGGAUAACAUUUGGAAACAGAUGCUAAUACCGCAUAGAUCCAAGAACCGCAUGGUUCUUGGCUGAAAGAUGGCGUAAGCUAUCGCUUUUGGAUGGACCCGCGGCGUAUUAGCUAGUUGGUGAGGUAAUGGCUCACCAAGGCGAUGAUACGUAGCCGAACUGAGAGGUUGAUCGGCCACAUUGGGACUGAGACACGGCCCAAACUCCUACGGGAGGCAGCAGUAGGGAAUCUUCCACAAUGGACGCAAGUCUGAUGGAGCAACGCCGCGUGAGUGAAGAAGGCUUUCGGGUCGUAAAACUCUGUUGUUGGAGAAGAAUGGUCGGCAGAGUAACUGUUGUCGGCGUGACGGUAUCCAACCAGAAAGCCACGGCUAACUACGUGCCAGCAGCCGCGGUAAUACGUAGGUGGCAAGCGUUAUCCGGAUUUAUUGGGCGUAAAGCGAGCGCAGGCGGUUUUUUAAGUCUGAUGUGAAAGCCCUCGGCUUAACCGAGGAAGCGCAUCGGAAACUGGGAAACUUGAGUGCAGAAGAGGACAGUGGAACUCCAUGUGUAGCGGUGAAAUGCGUAGAUAUAUGGAAGAACACCAGUGGCGAAGGCGGCUGUCUGGUCUGUAACUGACGCUGAGGCUCGAAAGCAUGGGUAGCGAACAGGAUUAGAUACCCUGGUAGUCCAUGCCGUAAACGAUGAAUGCUAGGUGUUUGGAAGGGUUUCCCGCCCUUCAGUGCCGCAGCUAACGCAUUAAGCAUUCCGCCUGGGGAGUACGACCGCAAGGUUGAAACUCAAAGGAAUUGACGGGGGCCCGCACAAACGGGUGGAGCAUGUGGUUUUAAUUCCAAACAACCCCA
Molecule: ribosomal RNA, 949 nt
Filed under: Lactobacillus sp. M9
Lineage: Bacteria; Bacillati; Bacillota; Bacilli; Lactobacillales; Lactobacillaceae
Description: bacterial SSU rRNA
Rfam family: Bacterial small subunit ribosomal RNA
Source: RNAcentral